CGAGGAAAAGAAAUCAACCGAGAUUCCCCCAGUAGCGGCGAGCGAACGGGGAGGAGCCCAGAGCCUGAAUCAGUGUGUGUGUUAGUGGAAGCGUCUGGAAAGGCGCGCGAUACAGGGUGACAGCCCCGUACACAAAAAUGCACAUAUUGUGAGCUCGAUGAGUAGGGCGGGACACGUGGUAUCCUGUCUGAAUAUGGGGGGACCAUCCUCCAAGGCUAAAUACUCCUGACUGACCGAUAGUGAACCAGUACCGUGAGGGAAAGGCGAAAAGAACCCCGGCGAGGGGAGUGAAAAAGAACCUGAAACCGUGUACGUACAAGCAGUGGGAGCCUCUUAAUGGGGUGACUGCGUACCUUUUGUAUAAUGGGUCAGCGACUUAUAUUCUGUAGCAAGGUUAACCGAAUAGGGGAGCCGAAGGGAAACCGAGUCUUAACUGGGCGUUAAGUUGCAGGGUAUAGACCCGAAACCCGGUGAUCUAGCCAUGGGCAGGUUGAAGGUUGGGUAACACUAACUGGAGGACCGAACCGACUAAUGUUGAAAAAUUAGCGGAUGACUUGUGGCUGGGGGUGAAAGGCCAAUCAAACCGGGAGAUAGCUGGUUCUCCCCGAAAGCUAUUUAGGUAGCGCCUCGUGAAUUCAUCUCCGGGGGUAGAGCACUGUUUCGGCAAGGGGGUCAUCCCGACUUACCAACCCGAUGCAAACUGCGAAUACCGGAGAAUGUUAUCACGGGAGACACACGGCGGGUGCUAACGUCCGUCGUGAAGAGGGAAACAACCCAGACCGCCAGCUAAGGUCCCAAAGUCAUGGUUAAGUGGGAAACGAUGUGGGAAGGCCCAGACAGCCAGGAUGUUGGCUUAGAAGCAGCCAUCAUUUAAAGAAAGCGUAAUAGCUCACUGGUCGAGUCGGCCUGCGCGGAAGAUGUAACGGGGCUAAACCAUGCACCGAAGCUGCGGCAGCGACACUAUGUGUUGUUGGGUAGGGGAGCG
Molecule: ribosomal RNA, 985 nt
Filed under: Escherichia coli
Lineage: Bacteria; Pseudomonadati; Pseudomonadota; Gammaproteobacteria; Enterobacterales; Enterobacteriaceae
Description: partial 23S ribosomal RNA
Rfam family: Bacterial large subunit ribosomal RNA
Source: RNAcentral